This 253-nucleotide ribosomal RNA is filed under the name uncultured bacterium. RNAcentral's name for it is "partial 16S ribosomal RNA". It matches the Rfam family "Bacterial small subunit ribosomal RNA", at positions 524 to 776 of the family's 1533-position model. The record is from RNAcentral.
UACGGAGGGAGCUAGCGUUGUUCGGAAUUACGUGGCGUAAAGCGCACGUAGGCGGCUUUGUAAGUUAGAGGUGAAAGCCCGGGGCUCAACCCCGGAAUUGCCUUUAAGACUGCAUCGCUUGAAUCCGGGAGAGGUGAGUGGAAUUCCGAGUGUAGAGGUGAAAUUCGUAGAUAUUCGGAAGAACACCAGUGGCGAAGGCGGCUCACUGGACCGGUAUUGACGCUGAGGUGCGAAAGCGUGGGGAGCAAACAGG